This 253-nucleotide ribosomal RNA is filed under the name uncultured bacterium. RNAcentral describes it as "partial 16S ribosomal RNA". It matches the Rfam family "Bacterial small subunit ribosomal RNA", at positions 524 to 776 of the family's 1533-position model. The record is from RNAcentral.
UACGAAGGGGGCUAGCGUUGCUCGGAAUUACUGGGCGUAAAGGGAGCGUAGGCGGAUAGUUUAGUCAGAGGUGAAAGCCCAGGGCUCAACCUUGGAAUUGCCUUUGAUACUGGCUAUCUUGAGUACGGAAGAGGUAUGUGGAACUCCGAGUGUAGAGGUGAAAUUCGUAGAUAUUCGGAAGAACACCAGUGGCGAAGGCGACAUACUGGUCCGUUACUGGCGCUGAGGCUCGAAAGCGUGGGGAGCAAACAGG